GGCCGCCUGGCGAAAUGGCAUCGCGUCUGACUACGACAUGUUCAAGCAUGUGCGCCAUCAGGAGAUUGCAGGUUCGACCCCUGCGGUGGUCA
This is a non-coding RNA of Trametes meyenii, 92 nucleotides long. NCBI's taxonomy places the organism in Eukaryota, Fungi, Basidiomycota, Agaricomycetes, Polyporales, Polyporaceae. The record is from the annotation of a GenBank genome assembly.